Long non-coding RNA from Bubalus bubalis (water buffalo), 901 nucleotides. RefSeq lists it as uncharacterized. The transcript is spliced from 2 exons. The record is from RefSeq and is a predicted model, not a curated record. NCBI's taxonomy places the organism in Eukaryota, Metazoa, Chordata, Mammalia, Artiodactyla, Bovidae.
CAUUUUUGGAACCCAGUCAUCACGCUGUGAGGAAGCCAAGUAGAGACUUGGAGAGACAACGUCUGUGUUCUGGUUGACGGCCUGUUAUGGACUGAGUGUUUGUGUCUCCCCUGCCACCCAGUCUGGAUGCCGAAGCCCUAAUCCCCAGUGUGAUGAUAUUUGAAGAUAAGCUCAGUUUGCACACUGAGAACCCGUUCCGCCAUCCCUGUGAAGAGGUUCUGCCGUCUGGUCUUGAGUCUUUGCCUGAGAAGAGCGGUGCUGAAGAAUUCCUCACAGGCAACUUCACGCGGGGCUCUGCUGACCUGUCACUGCCUGCAGUUGGCCUGUAGGGAGCAUGCGUUUGUUUCGGUAUCGUAUUUGGGACUAUGUGACAGUUCACCUGUUUUAUGAUCACAAUAAUAAACUAGGAGGUCCAGAGCACAUUUUCCACAGGCUUUCUGUGAACCAGUUUCUGUGUUGGAGCUUUUCUUGCUCCUCACUACUCCACACCCUAAAUUUAAAAAAAAAGAAAAGAAAAAAUUAGCACAAGCUUGCCAUUAUAUUCAGUCAAAUAUUCCACAUUUCCAAUAUUUUAUUUCUCAUUAGAACACUGUGUCUUCAAGUCUCAUUUUUAUGAUUUCUAAACAUGCUGGAGUAUAUGUCUCAUAAGGCUUUUUGCACUCUAAUGUAAUAAAGCGUAUAGAAUCUCUUUGUGUAUAUGCAAACAAAAGUGAAUCCCUUUAAGUCUUUAUACAAUUCUCUUGAUUUUAUUUUUCUUAUAAUUGUAUUAGCCUUGUAUGUGCUAUCCAAUACUUUAUUUAUUUUCUGUUAUGUUGAAUAUUAUUUACCUAAAGUAGCAAUGAUAUUUUACACAAUUACUAAACCAUGUAAUGCUGGGGAGAAAUAGAUUUGGAACAAAGUG